Molecule: unclassified non-coding RNA, 231 nt
Filed under: Hevea brasiliensis (rubber tree)
Lineage: Eukaryota; Viridiplantae; Streptophyta; Magnoliopsida; Malpighiales; Euphorbiaceae
Source: RNAcentral
AAUUUCAUAUAACGAGUUACAGUUUGGUAUUUCUUUGGGGUCCUAACUAGUUGAUCUACCCCAAAGUGUCCCCUUUGUUGGAAAUCUAUGAUUCUGAUGGGUAAGUCAUAAAUGGAUCAAUUUGAUGGAAAAAAAAGGGGACACUUUGGGGUAGAUCAACUAGAUAUUGUUGCCAAUGUUUCCAUUCAAAAUUGCAGAGUACAAAUAAGUUUCUUCGUUAUAAUGAGGGGC